GCAGAGAUGGCCGAGAGGUUAAGGCGUUGGAUUUAGGUUAAUUUGUCAUGAAUAUCAAAAUUUUCAUGUAUUGAUUUAAAUACUCCAAUUUCGAAAGAAGCAUGGGUUCGAACCCCAUUCCCUGCA
Transfer RNA from Hanseniaspora valbyensis NRRL Y-1626, 126 nucleotides. It matches the Rfam family "tRNA". Rfam says of the family: Transfer RNA (tRNA) molecules are approximately 80 nucleotides in length. Their secondary structure includes four short double-helical elements and three loops (D, anti-codon, and T loops). Further hydrogen bonds mediate the characteristic L-shaped molecular structure. tRNAs have two regions of fundamental functional importance: the anti-codon, which is responsible for specific mRNA codon recognition, and the 3' end, to which the tRNAs corresponding amino acid is attached (by aminoacyl-tRNA synthetases). tRNAs cope with the degeneracy of the genetic code in two manners: having more than one tRNA (with a specific anti-codon) for a particular amino acid; and 'wobble' base-pairing, i.e. permitting non-standard base-pairing at the 3rd anti-codon position. Lineage: Eukaryota; Fungi; Ascomycota; Saccharomycetes; Saccharomycodales; Saccharomycodaceae. The record is from Rfam.